UACGAAGGUGGCAAGCGUUACUCGGAUUUACUAGGCGUAAAGGGCAGGUAGGUGGUCUGAUAAGUCUGUUGUGUAAGCUCCCGGCUUAACUGGGAGAGGUCAACAGAUACUGUCAGGCUGGAGUAUGGGAGAGGGUACUGGAAUUCCCGGUGUAGCGGUGAAAUGCGCAGAUAUCAGGAGGAACACCAAUAGCGAAGGCAGCUCGCUGGGACGUACUGACACUGAGGCGCGAAAGCUAGGGGAGCAAACGGG
Molecule: ribosomal RNA, 252 nt
Filed under: uncultured bacterium
Lineage: Bacteria
Description: partial 16S ribosomal RNA
Rfam family: Bacterial small subunit ribosomal RNA
Source: RNAcentral